This 13104-nucleotide unclassified non-coding RNA is filed under the name Nilaparvata lugens (brown planthopper). RNAcentral's name for it is "uncharacterized LOC111058064, transcript variant X3". The record is from RNAcentral. Lineage: Eukaryota; Metazoa; Arthropoda; Insecta; Hemiptera; Delphacidae.
AUUCUUCACUCUACACCUGUUGGGGGUUGAGCAGUUCUCACUUGCCAGAUUCACUUGCCAUAGCCACUGCUUGAUACACAGAUACGGUCAACAGGUCUUGCGUCCUAUCACAGCGUGUGUCCUGUCUUGUCCUCGCUUCGCACUCCACUUGUUGCAACUGUCAUCUCGCGACUCACAAGCAACUGAGAAAUAAAGUGGAAGUCGAAUCUGGAUUAUCCUUUGAAUGAUGGUCUUGACCGUGAGUCCGCUGGCACUGAACGUGUGUAUGGUGCUGCUCUACACGCUACUCUGCGCAACCGCGCUGCCUCUUGGCAGUAGCUACAGAGUUGCGACAGCGGCGGUCGGCCGCGACGGCACGUAUCGCGAUCCACCAAUUGGUCGCGAUCCGACUUACCGCGAUCCUCUCGCAAUAAAUCGCGAGAGCGAUGAGUCACGUGCGCUUUCUGCUGCAGUCGUGGCAGCUAACGAGCCUACUUGUGAACAAUUGCGUGUUAUGUGGCGUUUCUCGAAGCGUCAGAGUCGCGCGGCCGAAAUCACCAACGAGCUGCCCACUUACCGCGAUCCGCUCGCCUACAAUGUGUGGGACGCGUAUGCAACCUAUCGUGAUCCGCUGUCAUAUGCAAGAACCCGGAGUGGAGGCGGCAGGCGACGAGCCAUGGUGUUUGGGCGGGUCGUACAUGAUGCUCGCGGUACGGUGCCAUCUUCCUACGAAGCACUGCUUGCCGCUUCGCCCGAUCGACUACGUGCUUUCCAAGAGGUAACUCGAUUGUAUGGUGGUGACCAGAGUAACGAUGGUCGUGCUGCGUCUCCACCCGCUCCGCCUACUCCAACGCGGAAAACAUUGUUCCGUGGAGCUUCCGCUCAGCCGAUGCCUGUCUCCAGCGGACAGUUCCAACAUCUCAAGGAGCUCAUCCGUUCAGAACGAGCUCGCGAGCUGCUUGAACAACGCAUGAAGGAGGAAGCUGUGGCGAGGGCUGAAGCUCUUAAGGAUAUUGUCAACCAGGUGCAUUUCGGUCGUAUUGUGCAGCACCAGAAGGGUCAAUUGGAGCAGGCAGUAGCUGACCGCGCUGCUAUCUCUGAGCAGCAGCAGCAUCCGAUUGGUCAAAUCCACAGCAUUCGCUCACAGCUGAUGCACAAACGCACACCCCGCUACCCCUUCAUCAUCGACUACUACGACGAUCUACAGGAUGAGGAAGAUAUUGAUGAUGAAAUCGAUCCGUACGGAGAAACGUGGGCCUGGUGACGUGCUUGAGAGAAGACCCCGACUAGCUCAGCGAGAGGAGACCCCUGCCCACAACCACCGAGAAGCCUCCCUCUGAGAAGUGACAAGUCGGAGUCAUCCCUUGCUAACACUUACAACGUUGUAAAUAAGAUUUAUUCCAUGGGAUUGAACCAUGUGGCGUCUUUAGACUGGGCGGAUCGACCACCCAAUUGUCAUAAGUGUGAGGACAUAAAUGUUCGUUCGUUCCUGUUUAUUAACUAACGACUGUGUGUCUCUAUUAUUUUAGUCACAAAAAUUAGAAUUCAAUCAUGUUAUAGUUAUUCGUUUGGGAAGCUGCCAGUUCUAGACUGGUUAAGUGUCUGAAAUUUUGUUCCCGCAAAUUUAUUAGAAUAUCAAUGUCUAUUUUCAAUGUUUAUUUAGAAUUCUGAAAGUUCGAAUUCUCUUAUUUUUAUAAGUGAUUGCAUGCAUUUGUGUCACAUGUCUACUAUUCUUCUUUCAAUAUUACACUUACUUAAAAGAAUAUAAUUUUAACAGUUACGAAAGAUUGCAUAAUUAUGCAUUCCUGUAUAGUUUCGGCCGUUUACUAGUUUUUAGUCAAGUAUUAUUAUAAAUAUUUUUGUGAUAGCGUUUUAUGAGGGCUCCUCACCCUAGGUCUCAUUCCACUGUGGAAUCUUCUUGUGCAUCUGCCCCAUCCCUCUCAUAUCAUUCUGUAUAUCAUAUCGCUAUAAUACUGCAGUGUUACUUUAUCUCAUGACACUGAAAAAGUUAUGUAUAACAAAGAGUUUGAUAGGGGAGAAUGUAUCCUCUUUGGCAUUUGAAACCCUGAUCAAGCAAACAAUCCAACAAUUAUUUAGUGCUACAACUGUUUACUCCUUUUGUAUUCAUCAUGAACAGCGGAAGUUCAUCAGUUGCGGUAAUAGAUUGAUCUGUUGAUACUACCAAUAUGAAAACUUGGAAAAUAUUGCUAUUUUCUAUAGAUGUAUCAAAUUGUCUUCCAAUUUGAAUUUUUUUAGAAUGACGAUAUUAUCAUAUCACUGAUAAAUCAAAUACAAUUAAAUAAGCAAAGCCUCCUCAUUAGAUUUCCUGAUGUUGUAUAUGAGCCUUCAAUUAUCUGGUGUUACUUGUAUGGAUAUUCUCUAUAUUAGUCGUGAGCAAUCUCGACAACGUUGUGAACAUUGAAUUAUUUGAAUUUCAAAAUUCUGUGAAUGAAACUGAAUCUAUCAAAUAGGAUAUAUCAACAUCCCCAAAAGUGUUAAUUUUAAAUAAAGAAUGAUAAGUCGUUGGAAAAAGCCUUAUCUUACAUGGAAAUUAUUUAAACUUAUAAACAGGUAUUCUUCAAAGAGAUCUGAAGAGUCAAUGAAUCUAUCAGAAUUUUUGAAGUUCUCUUCUUAACAUAAAUCUCGAUUGAAUCUUGUCUUCAGUCGAAAUGAAUAUUCCGUGACUUUAUUCCAAAACGCAAUGAUAAUCAGAAAUAAUUCAUACUUUAAAUGUUUUUGAAUACAGAACCUACUAUUAUAGAAGCUGGCCCUCUCCUACACUUUACCAACCAAUACAAUACAAUAUCAAGUUAUUUUGAGUUACAAACUCAUACAAAACAUUACGAGAAUCGAUGAGUAUGUUGAUGAAUGAAGACGUUCCAAUAAUAAAAAUAACUUUUUGAGGAACAGAAUGUUAUUUUUCAAUGAUUUUAUAAUCAUACUGACUCAAAACAUUAAUAGUCCUCAAUAACUUUAUUAGAUACAAUUAAUGACGCUUGAAAUAUUGUAACACUGCACCUAGACAUAUCUAAUUACUAUUGAAUAUCGUAUUCAUCAUCCAGCUUCUCUCAACCCAAGUCCCAGAAUUAUGCCUUAAUCCUUCCGCUUGGAAUAUUGUAUUAUCAAAAAAGCUUAGAUUUAUUACUACGGAAUUGAUAAUUAUAGAGGUUGAAUCUUUGAACAUGUUGCUAAAACCUCCAACUGUUAAUCGCGGAAAUACAUGAAUACGAGGUAUGUGAGAAUGGUAUCGUCAGUAGAAGGUAGAGUUCAAUUAGGAACAUUUUUAACAUUAAACUGAAGCAUUUGUUCCACUUUGAGUGAGUGAGGAUUUCUAAUAACAUAUCGGGAAUUUGAGACUUAUGAGAAAGCACUGUUGUUUCAAAAUAUUAACGUAAUCUAACUUAGAAUAAUCUUUAACCCAUACCGGUACCAUAUCACAGAAUUUAUUACAAUACAGUUUCAUUAUUUACAAAAGUUUAUUUUUUUAUCAUGAUAACGUAUUUUAAGAAGCAGAAGUUCGUAUAAAAUCAAAGUAAUUUAUUCAAAAUAUAGCUCUUGCGUUACUAAUUAGACCAUAGAUCAAUACUUUUGAAUCUAUUUCAUUUUUUUGGAAUCUGCCUGAUAAUGUAGUUAGCAAUCAUAACACUCCUCUUCCACUUCAAUUCAAGAAGAAAACUCAGAAUGUUUGGGAACUACACGCAUAUAAAUUUUACAUAACUUUUAAACCCAUUUUAAUUGAUUAGUUUAUUCACAACGAGAAGCAAAUAUCACAAUGAACAGUAUAAGAAGAACUUGUGUAACUAAAAUGUAUUCUUUGGAUAUUCAAUUGUUAGCCCAAAUUCUAAUAAGUACAUCUACUAAAUGGUGUUGUUGAAAUUUGUUGAUGAGUUUAAAAGUGGUCAUCUCAUUCUGUGCUUCAAUUCAAAUUAAUCCAACGAAUUGAUACUCUUCAGUUUGAUAAAUAUGAUUUCAUGCAUAGAAAUGUGUUAACCUAUGACAGAACAUUCCAAUUGUUCCCUAGUAACUGAUCUAUCUGAGAAUAUUAUAUGCGAGUCGAUAAUUAGUCAUCGUUCCAAAUAAUUCAUAAAAUAAUUUCAAUUGGAACGAAAAUAGAAAUUAAAACAUUCGAUUUGUAAAACAAAACACAAUCAAUAGUAUAUAAUCACCAAUUUCACUCUGUACUUUUCAUACUUUUUACUACAUGUAACUCAACCAAUUUUUUCGCGAGAAUAUGAUAGAAUUUAUUGUGUCUUUUUUAGAAUGCAAUUUUUGGUUAGCAAAAAUAUACAGUGAUGGUGGAAUCUGAAACUGCACAAUGAACAAUGAACAAACACCUAUAGCUCUCAGCUGUAUGACAUUUCUAAUUCCACUCCUGAAAAAUGAGGUGAAUGGAGUAAAGAAUAUAUUAACGAUUCUCAUUUCAAGGGAGAAUGAAAAAGACUGUCAAGUGGAUGAAUGUAUUCUCACUCACUAAGAAACAUUCAUCCCUUUUUGUAUUGUCACUGAGAGAAACAUUUUCGUUCUAAAUCUUCGAUCACUUUUGUAAAUUCACCAUGCCGUAAUAUUCGCGUCAUUAAAAUAUAGGUCGUGAUUCAAUUGGGAGAAUUCAAGGACAUUUGAAAACUUCAUUCUACAUAUCUUGGAAUGGAAAGGUGAUAUGAUUUUCAAUUGUGUAGAAGAAGAUAAUAUUUUAAAUUGCUGCUAUACUACUCAUUCGAGAACGUCAAUUUCCCAUAAGUCACGCAUCAUAUAUUUCAGAUAAGGCACAAAUUAUUAUUUUCUUGCUGAAAAUUUUGAGAAAUUUAGGAGUAGGAUUUAGAAAUUCAGAGUAGGAUUGAUUAUAGCAUAUCUUGGUAGCUUUUUUAUUAAUGGUGACUCGUUAACAAAAUCAAUUAUAUUUCUGACAAUAGUAGAUUAUAACGCACGAUAAUUAAAAUAGCUUACUUUAAUUCCGUUUAAGCUCCACUCAGGGCAUGAUGAAUUUACAAAGUGACAGAGAAAUUAAAACAAAAAUGUUUAUUCCAGACGUUGGGUAAGUGAGAAUACAUUUAUCAGAUUAAUAGUCUUUUUAAUAAAAUUUCCCUUGAAUUGAGAAUCGCUAACUCUCUACUUUAUUCACUUCCCUUUUCAAAGGAGGAAUAAGAGGUGUCAGACAGCUGAAAGCUAUACGUUGUUCGUGCAUUGCGCAGUUUCAUAUUACCUUGCUUUGAUACUGGAAAGCUUAGAAAAUAAUUGAGUCCAGCACGAGAGCAGAUUAUCCCCUAUGUGAAACUCUUUAUAUAAUAAAUUUCAUUUUAUUUGUCGGAUGAGAAAAUGAACUGACACCUUUUUUGCAACACAUUUUUAAUUUUCCAUGCUUGGAAUCAUUCAUUCGUGAUCAUUCUAUUCACUCUUCAGUUUCGAAAAAUUUUCUGAAAGUUCUUUGACGUUCAAGUAAUAGAUGUGAAUAAUGCAGAAUUGAAAUUCUGUUUCGUAUUUUACUUUCCAGAGAUAGCGAAAUUCAGACUUUUUUGACAAUGUUUUUAGAAUCGAGGUUAUAAUUUUCCUUUGCAAUAUUGGUCUGUUCAUUAGUCCUCUGCGUAGCAUUAGAAUAAUUUUAUUCAAUCUACUUCACAGAACCAUUCACGAUAUAGUUCAGUAAAGUUUAAUUUUAAAAUUGUGGUUCCCAGCUGAUUCGGACAGGCCAAGUUUAAUAAAACUUAAUAUUUUUAUUACAUUGAAUGAACUCAAUUUCUACGUGUAAUUUUCAAACAAAUCCGAUUAUCCAAAGAAUACAUUUCACUUGAUAUACUUUUGAGUUCGAGAGACUCUCCAAAUAGAUUAAGGACAGGGUAUGUUACGAAGAACAAUAUUGGUAUUAUUACAAAUUUUAUCAAUUUUGAGCUUUUCAGUUCGUUACAGAUUUCUCUAAGACUGAAUGAACUUAUUCAUGAACAUCAUCUCAUUAUCUGGAAAAAAAUACUAGUUUAAUUUAGCUGAAAAACCAAUCACACUCAAUAGAAUAACACUUCAUUCUUGGAUAUAAUUUCCUAUAUCAAUACAUUUCUGAAUGUUUGAUUACUUUGUCAAUCGAGUUGCUGCUAAUCCUAGUUUAAAGUUUUGAGUUUUCAUAAUUCCAAAUUCAUUCAUGGAUAUAUAAUCGGAAAACUCUACAAAGACAAUAUCACAACUUUAGUGAUAGAUUGAGUAUCCAUGACAAGAGAAUCCAUGUCUCAAUCACAAAAAAAUUAAGCUAUGCUAGAUAGUCGGAAAGAAAAUCAUAGAAACAAUAAUCAUUAAGAAGAGGGCCAAAUCGUUGAAGCAAUUUUUAUUUUGAAUAUAUUGCAUUCACCAAUGAUACAUGAAAUUAUACGAGACUUAUCCAAUUGUUCAAUUCUUCUCGUACUGUCAAAAAUGUUAUGCAACUGGCCUCAAUUCAAGAAUGGAUAUUAUAGAAAAGCAAGAUAGCCUCAAAUUUGUAUAUGCGGGAGAGAGAAUAAAAGCUGUAUUUACAGUUCAUGAAGAAAAGGUAUCUAUUGUUCUCUUUCCAGUACCAUUCUAACAUAGUAUGCCAAGAGUUCAUCAAAUCUAUCGAAUUAUAUCAUUCAUUAUUGAUUCCGAUGCUAAAUUUAUUUUUGAAUUUACUCAAUUGGUAAUAUUCUAUGAAUAAAAUCAGCCUUUCUAUGGCUUCAUAAUCGACUACCAAAUAAAGCCUACAUUAUCAAACCUUCAACAUUAUGAUUAAAUAUCAUUUUCAGUGAACUAAUUUUCUUGGAAAUGAGAAUAACAAAAUUAGAUCCAAAAUUUAGAUUGGAGAUGGGAAAUCAAAGUUGUCAAUAACAACGACAUAUUGUCAUCUGUAAUAAUUGUCUUUGACCGCUUGUUACCUUGAAAUAAAACAUCUGAAAGACGAUUAAGAAGUUAGUGGAGAUGAAAUCAGAAAACCGAAAAAAAUUGUGAUAUUUCAACUAGAAAUAAUUUCAGGGAACCCUAGCUUACUUCUUGUCUUGUUUUAUGCAGAAUUUAUAAUUAACAUAUCAUUUGAGUUGUCUCUUAUCAUCUGGAGCAUUAUAGCUGUGAAUAAUUGUUUACGCCUGCCAAGGAAAGAAACCUUAUGAUAGUUACCAUCUUAGAUUAAGGAUUUUGUAUUAGAAAAUUGUAGAAGAGUGGAUGAGUUUGAGGUGAACAGAUAGAAUUCGAAGAAACUUUUCAACCGCCAAAUUAUGAAACCAAACAGUAUUAUUGCCAGUCUCUUGUCAAUUCAGUAACUUAAAAGACUAAAUAAAGUUAGUCGACUUGAGCAGCUAAAGCUGCUGAAGGAAAACAUGAUGAUCAUUAUACACAACAAACAGUAUGAGUCGAUAUAUUUCUAUUCCUGUUGUUGAAUUAUAAUGUGUAAAUAUUCAUGCUCAAAGGUAUCGGAUAGUAUAAUAUAUUGUACUUUAUUAGAAGAAUAGAGUAAGAGAAUGAAUAAGAAUUUGCUUUAAGGAAAGUAUGGAGUAUGAUUGGCCUACAUUUUAAACUUUAGGAUUUAAACAAUAUGUUCAAUCAGAUGAUACAAAAUAGUAUGUUUUUGAGGACGAAGUUUUAGGUUAGAAUGGGCUAGCAGUAAUUACAUGUAUAUAGAAGGAAGAUAGGCUGCUGUUCAAGAUGGAAAUUCGUCUAAUUAUUUUAUGAAACGAAAGACUUAUACUAAUACUAUUUAUAAAACUUACUGAACGAUUUCCGACACUGGUCCAUGUAUUUUUAUUCAUUAUAUGUUGAGUGAACAGAAAAAAAUUAGAGCAACUAUACUAUCUUGUACUGAACAUAGAAAGGAAUUUGAUUUACAAUAUAAUCCACCAGUGUAUUUUUAUUCAUUAUAUGUUGAGUGAACAGAAAAAAAUUAGAGCAACUAUACUAUCUUGUACUGAACAUAGAAAGGAAUUUGAUUUAGAAUAUUAUCCACCAGUGGAUUAUCCUCAUUAUCUGAUACGUUAUCUUAAAAAAUGUAUAAAUGAGAAACAUGAGCUUAUAAAAACAACAGUGUCAUCCUGAGAAUGCCAUAGGUACAAUGUCAUUGUGGAACCUUUCUUCAGAGUUCAGUGUCCCUUCGAAAGUAUUUUUCGAUAUUGAUUCCUGUACAAAACUAAUAUUGAAUGCCAUAAUUUAAAAUUUCUAUUCACACUUUUCUCAGAGUAGCAGCCAUUUUUUAUGUUGUAAUGUUCCAGAGUAUUCCAUUGUGGAGUGAAUAUUCAAAUGAUUAGGUCUAGAAUGAUUUGAAUCAUGUACUUUGGAAUCUGAAAUUUAAUUUUUCUUGAAAAAAAAAAUUCAACAAUAUUGGUCGGAACAUUUUCACUUGAAAAUAAGUGUUUGUAUCGAAUAAAUGUUCUGCAUUGAGAGUUUUCAAGCUCUUCUUAGAAAAAUGUCACAUUGCUUACUUUAAUCGCUUCAUAACUAUCAAGCUGUCAAAAAUUAAUUUUCUUUCAUCACAGACUAACCUGUUGUCCGAUCUUUGUCGAGAAAUAAUAGCAGGAUCAACAAAAAGCUGAGGCGUACUUCUAUAAUAUUUAUAUGUUAAUUUUCUUUUUCUCGGAAAUAACGUAUAAUGUAGGUACUUUAAUGAAAAUGUACUCAACAUUUUCCAUCAAGAACCUUUCUUUGAAAAAUCAGCUUCUAGAAUAAACUAUCAAUAAUCUGAAUAUCCAAUUACUGUAUCUUCAAUCAUAAGCCACUGAUUUUUUGAAAACAUAAUUGAAAGUGUUCGUGUUGUAUACUUGUGAUAGAGAUAUGAUUACUUGUGAUAUUCAUUGGAGCAUGAAAAUUCUCAAUUCAUUGUCCUUGAUAAGUUCAACAUUAUUCAUCUCAUUUCUAAAAUCAAUUCUCCAUAAUUGUAUGUUUUGUUAAAUUGAGAAUAACAUAAUUAUUAUAACUUCAUUUCCCGCGUCUACUUUAGAACGUUAUAAGAGAAUAGCUCUUGAUAUCACCGAAUAUUUAAAGCCUUGUUCUUCCAUUUGGAAUACCACUUAUUAGAGUUUGCCUUAUUCAAAGUAUUAUGUUAAUUAUCUAUUAAGUUGAAAUCAGAAAAAUAUGCCAGCUUCACAUCUAUGUCGACCUUUUUAAUUUGAAGGGUUGAACUCUAACUCUAUUGCAAUAAAUAUAUGUUAAUUCUUCAAAUGAGAUUGUUUGAGGAAACAGAUAUGAAUAAGAAAAGUCAAAUUGGGAAUAAAAAACACAAUUUACACAUUAGAGACAAUGCUAUAGAAUCUAUGACUUUAAAAAUAUUACAUUUGAAUGAUUUGAAUUUUAUUUUCCUUCUAUUUAUCACUUUGCGAUAUGUAUUUGAUCAAACCCCAAAUAUCUCCAAAAUAUAAUGAUCAUUAUUUUUAUUUGGUAAUAUUUUUCGAUGAAUUACGCGAAACAUUGCUAUUCAGCUGUACAAAGCAUUUGAAAGUUUAUGAAAAUAUUAUAGGUGUAGAAUUUUAUCUGUGAGUAAAUCACCAAAUCAGAAUUGAAUUGAAUUUAAACAUUUCCAAUUGAGAUUGUCCACCGCGAUGUUAGGAACAUUCUCAAAGCUUCUCGAUCUAGAUGCUACUAAGUAACCAAAAUAGUAUACAAUUCAGAGAGAAAACAUUCCUUAUCAUUUCUAUCAGUUGACAUAUAGCCUAGCAUCUAAAUUAAAAUCUUUUGGGUGGGUCAUUACAGAAUUGAUAAAAAAUAAUUUAAUCGAAUUUUCAGGAUAAAUUCAUCAAGUUUCACCUUCCGUCGAAUAAGAAACUUGAUUUCUCAUAAUAUGAAUUCCAGAGAGAUCUAUUCUACUUCCUUCACCAGCCUUUGAUGCUCAUCAACCACGAGUUAUUCUGCAUGUCAUUAAUUAUGCGCAUUCUUGGUCUUCCUUUCAAUCUUCCUUUUUCUGGAUUGAUUUUGUAUAUUAAUUUAUUGUUAAUUCUGUGCAGCUCUUCAUUUCCCAACCAACUGAGACUCCAUUUUAGUUACAAUGUACGGCUUGUUGUGAGCUCUUGUAACUCUUGGUUAGUAAGAACCCUUCACUCACCGUCACUACAGAUAGUUCCAAGAAUUUUACGAAUUGUCUUUCUCACCUAGAUAUUGGGUGAGUUUUUGUCCCUCUGAAUCUGUGUCCAGAUUUUUGCACCGUAUAGUACACCUAGUCUUAUGACUAGCUGAAAGUUUAGCUUUGAUAUACACCUGCACUUUGCUUUGUACCUGUGUGUCAUCACAGCUCCUACAGCUCCUCAUACUGGUAUUCCUCAACCUUCUUGAACAGCUGUCCCUAAUCACAAUCCUCUUUUCAUUCCCUUGAUCAUUCUCCCCAUUAUUAUGCAUGCAUGUAUUUUGAAACAGUCGUGUUGAUUUCAAGUUAUGUUUUCCUAGAUGCAUUACUUGGUCAAUUCCUCCCUAUAGGGGAAAUAGGUUCAUAUAAUGAUAUGUAUUGUCGUGUCCUAUUGAUGAUAGUUUAAUUUGGGUUGAGACAGCCAAACUCCGUAUAAACUUCUCCAGACUAAUAUUCAAUAGCAUGGGUGAUAACAUAUAUCUUUGUCUUAGUCCAUAACAUGUCGUGAAACAGCUGGACAGACUUUCUUUCGGAUCUUCACUCGGAACUUAGUACCUUUCAAUAUCAUUCCCCUUAACAUUGCUAGUUUACAAUAUAUCCCAACUCCAUCAUAGUUAACAACUACUGUCUGCCCCUUUUCACCAGAUGAUUGUUUAUAAUCAAUGUACUAUUGCAUAUCCAUAUUAUACCCAAAUGAUAUUUGAUUUCAAUAUUUUUAAAUAUUAUUGCCCGUAAUAAUAUUUAAAAAUUUUAUCUAUAGUGAAGAUAAAAUGAUAUGUGUAAGUGGCAAAUUGGUACAGAUUUGACCUGAAUUCACGUUGAUAGUUUCCUAAGAUUCCUCCCAUGUAGGGCUCAUGAGCAACAUUCAGUAGGGUAUGUCUAUAUAACUUGAUCAGUCAUUCUAGGAAUAUCAAUUUUAGAAAAAUUUAUUCCUUUUAAAAAUAAUCACUCAAAUUGGGUUAUUUCUAUAAAAUUGAGUGAAUCUCCUUGGACUUGAUAAUUUGAGAAAUAAUAUCAUUCGGAAAACAAUAUCUUGUAUCCUUAGAACCUUCCGAAUUUUCUAACAAUUCUGAAAUUACUCACCCUAAAUAUUUCAAUCUUGAGCACUGACGUAUCUUAGAAUGUGAAAUUUAUGGAACAAAAAUCUUAAAAAUUAUUGUUCCUAAUUAGCAGCUUGGUUGUAUCCAAAUCGAAAUAAUUUAAAAACGUCACCAGAAGAAUUUUCCAAAAAGGCCAAUACACAACCUCAACCAAAAUGGUCUCAAAAUUCGACAAAACUACUUUACUUUCCCACUCGGUAAUAACUUUUCAAAAAUCAAAAUAUUCGAAGUUAUAUGGAUAAUAAAAAAUUAAUUUAUCAAAACCGGGACUUUAAGGUGUACCGGUAUCUAAAAACAUUCAGAUCUAUUCAAAGUUUCCAGUAUUUUUCAAUUUCCACAAUAUUAACUUCAAAGCAGCUAUAAUAUUAUGGUACUCACUCGCACAAUUCCCAAUUUUCAGCUAGUGAUUCAGUUUUCCAAAAUCAAUUUCAACUAAUUGUUAGAGCAAACGUAAUUGGUAUCUUCCAUUGAAACCGGUGACAAUACUCUGAAUCUAAAAUGUUUUAUAAUAACUUUUAACGGCUAGGAUAUGAAAUCAUUCGACUAUAACACUAAUCUCUACAUUCUAUUAUAAAUGUAGUUUUAUAUAAGGAGAUAAUAAGAACUUAAGACAAUAAUUUUACGUAGUGUAAGCUUCCAUCGAGACGUUCAUAAAGUCAAAUCAUAUAAACCGUGAGAACAUAAUUCUAGAUCGAAACUGUUCCCAGAGAAAAUAAGAUGACGAUGGGAAGGAGUAGAAAAUAAUAGUGGAGGAGUAACGAUAAAUGGAUAGUAAAGAUAUGAAAGAUAGUAAUAAAAUCAAAAUCAAUGAUUGAAUAAGCAAAUAUGAAAGAAUCGUAAUUAUUGUAAGAUAGAAGACUCAUAUCUGUUGAUCUAUUUUUAUCAAGAAUCAAUGUGAAAAUGUGAAAGUGAAUUUUCGAUUGAUCAUCAUGGAAACAUCUGGAUGUAGUAGGUGUAAUUGAAGGAACGAAGUUACGGACAAAGAAGAGAAUGGAAAUGGAAAUUUGGUGAAUGGUUAUUGGAGUGAGAGUAAUGGAUAGGAGAAUAGCGAAGAGGAUGUUAGAACAGCAAAAAAAAAACAGUUUUAUUGUUAGAUAAGAAUCCACACUACUCUAAUACAAGCCAAUGUUCAUUGGUUAGAGUUGUUGGAUCCGUCAAUUCCUAUACAAAAGUGUCGGCUACUUUCAAGUGAGAUUAAUUCCUAUGAAUCAUAUAAAGUUUCCUUGUCGUUUCUUCGUAGUUUCUAACCUCUCACAAAAUGUUUGUUAGCUCCACCUCAAUCCAAGAGCUUGAUAUAGCCUACUCCCAAUCAGAUAACUGCUCUUAUUUGAGAGCUCAAGAUAGGAGUACUGAGGAGUAUCUAAUCCCCUAUCCUGCUAAUCAACGGCAUGCAUUAAUAUUUUUUAGUAUUAAAACAAAUAUUAUUAUUAUCAUCAUCAUCAUUAUAUCAUCUCCCUCUGUCUUCCUUCUCAUUAAAAUAAAGAAAAAUAUAUAUAUAUAUUUAUAUAUUCAUAACAGAGCGCUGGCUUCUUCUGCCUCAUCACUGGAAUGGGAAAGAAGGUAUAAUGUACUAACACAAUAAAUAAAUCAUAUCGUACUCAUAUCGUAGGAUAAUAAGACUCAAAACAUGGAAUGUAAUAAUAAUAAUCAACGAAUGACGUGAUGUAGUCUAAGGAAAGUGAUGUAACUUAUUGAGAGUAAAGUGAAGUGCUGCCAAGUGAUGAGGAGUGGAAAGCAAUCAUGUAAAAGAUUUGUGAGGUCAGGUUUGGUCCAUGUGUAAAGGAGCGAUACUCAUAUAUAUUUUUCAAAACAUAUUCUGAAUGUGUAACCUUGAAUAUCAAACCUAUCUGACCAUGCCUUACAACACAAUCAUAAUCCCAAGCGUUUGGUUCUUUAUAUGAAACUCUGAAUUGUAAUUUACAUUAACGUUGAAAAUUAGAUUCAGACAUUUAUUUUUAAUGCAAAUUAAUAAAUAUAUGAAUGUAUAUAGAUGUA